This 492-nucleotide ribosomal RNA is filed under the name uncultured bacterium. Its description in RNAcentral is "partial 16S ribosomal RNA". It matches the Rfam family "Bacterial small subunit ribosomal RNA", at positions 29 to 507 of the family's 1533-position model. The record is from RNAcentral.
AGUGAACGCUGGCGGUAGGCCUAACACAUGCAAGUCGAACGGCAGCACAGUAAGAGCUUGCUCUUACGGGUGGCGAGUGGCGGACGGGUGAGGAAUACAUCGGAAUCUACUUUUUCGUGGGGGAUAACGUAGGGAAACUUACGCUAAUACCGCAUACGACCUACGGGUGAAAGCAGGGGAUCUUCGGACCUUGCGCGAUUGAAUGAGCCGAUGUCGGAUUAGCUAGUUGGCGGGGUAAAGGCCCACCAAGGCGACGAUCCGUAGCUGGUCUGAGAGGAUGAUCAGCCACACGGGAAGUGAGACACGGCCCAGCCUCCGCGGGGGGGAAGAGGUGGGAAAUUUGGAAAAAGGGGCGAAGGCCUGACCCACCAAUCCCGGGGGGGAAAAGAGGGCCUUGGGGUUAUAAACCUUUUUUGUGGAAAAAAAAAACAAGGAGGUAAAACCCCGGUUGUCCUGAGGGACCCCAAAGAAAAGGCACCGGCAAUCUUGGCC